Molecule: ribosomal RNA, 468 nt
Filed under: uncultured bacterium
Lineage: Bacteria
Description: partial 16S ribosomal RNA
Rfam family: Bacterial small subunit ribosomal RNA
Source: RNAcentral
GACGAACGCUGGCGGCGUGCUUAACACAUGCAAGUCGAACGGAAAGGCCCUGCUUUUGUGGGGUGCUCGAGUGGCGAACGGGUGAGUAACACGUGAGUAACCUGCCCUUGACUUUGGGAUAACUUCAGGAAACUGGGGCUAAUACCGGAUAGGAGCUCCUGCUGCAUGGUGGGGGUUGGAAAGUUUCGGCGGUUGGGGAUGGACUCGCGGCUUAUCAGCUUGUUGGUGGGGUAGUGGCUUACCAAGGCUUUGACGGGUAGCCGGCCUGAGAGGGUGACCGGCCACAUUGGGACUGAGAUACGGCCCAGACUCCUACGGGAGGCAGCAGGGGGGAAUAUUGCACAAUGGACGGAAGCCUGAUGCAGCAACGCCGCGUGCGGGAUGACGGCCUUCGGGUUGUAAACCGCUUUCGGCUGUGACAAAGCGUGAGUGACGGUAAUGGGUAAAGAAGCACCGGCUAACUACGUG